This 1397-nucleotide ribosomal RNA is filed under the name Providencia huaxiensis. RNAcentral describes it as "partial 23S ribosomal RNA". It matches the Rfam family "Bacterial large subunit ribosomal RNA", at positions 1553 to 2925 of the family's 2925-position model. Lineage: Bacteria; Pseudomonadati; Pseudomonadota; Gammaproteobacteria; Enterobacterales; Morganellaceae. The record is from RNAcentral.
AUGCUGAGGUUCGAUGACGAGUCACUACGGUGAUGAAGUAGCUCAUGCCCCGCUUCCAGGAAAAGCCUCUAAGCUCUAGAUUAUCAUUAAUCGUACCCCAAACCGACACAGGUGGUCAGGUAGAGAAUACUCAGGCGCUUGAGAGAACUCGGGUGAAGGAACUAGGCAAAAUGGUGCCGUAACUUCGGGAGAAGGCACGCUGGCGCUAGGUGAAGUCCCUUGCGGAUGGAGCUGAAGCCAGUCGCAGAUACCAGCUGGCUGCAACUGUUUAUUAAAAACACAGCACUGUGCAAACACGAAAGUGGACGUAUACGGUGUGACGCCUGCCCGGUGCUGGAAGGUUAAUUGAUGGGGUUAUCCGUAAGGAGAAGCUCUUGAUCGAAGCCCCAGUAAACGGCGGCCGUAACUAUAACGGUCCUAAGGUAGCGAAAUUCCUUGUCGGGUAAGUUCCGACCUGCACGAAUGGCGUAAUGAUGGCCAGGCUGUCUCCACCCGAGACUCAGUGAAAUUGAACUCGCUGUGAAGAUGCAGUGUACCCGCGGCAAGACGGAAAGACCCCGUGAACCUUUACUAUAGCUUGACACUGAACAUUGAGCCUUGAUGUGUAGGAUAGGUGGGAGGCUUCGAAGCGUGGACGCCAGUCUGCGUGGAGCCAACCUUGAAAUACCACCCUUUAAUGUUUGAUGUUCUAACGUUGCCCCAUUAUCUGGGGUGCGGACAGUGUCUGGUGGGUAGUUUGACUGGGGCGGUCUCCUCCCAAAGAGUAACGGAGGAGCACGAAGGUUGGCUAAGCAUGGUCGGACAUCAUGCGGUUAGUGCAAAGGCAUAAGCCAGCUUGACUGCGAGAGUGACGGCUCGAGCAGGUACGAAAGUAGGUCUUAGUGAUCCGGUGGUUCUGAAUGGAAGGGCCAUCGCUCAACGGAUAAAAGGUACUCCGGGGAUAACAGGCUGAUACCGCCCAAGAGUUCAUAUCGACGGCGGUGUUUGGCACCUCGAUGUCGGCUCAUCACAUCCUGGGGCUGAAGUAGGUCCCAAGGGUACGGCUGUUCGCCGUUUAAAGUGGUACGCGAGCUGGGUUUAGAACGUCGUGAGACAGUUCGGUCCCUAUCUGCCGUGGGCGUUGGAAGAUUGAAAGGGGCUGCUCCUAGUACGAGAGGACCGGAGUGGACGCACCACUGGUGUUCGGGUUGUCAUGCCAAUGGCAUUGCCCGGUAGCUAAGUGCGGAAGAGAUAACCGCUGAAAGCAUCUAAGCGGGAAACUUGCCUUGAGAUGAGUCUUCCCUGACCCUUUAAGGGUCCUAAAGGAACGUUUAAGACUAAGACGUUGAUAGGUUGGGUGUGUAAGCAUAGCGAUAUGUUGAGCUAACCAAUACUAAUGAACCGUGAGGCUUAACCUG